Molecule: ribosomal RNA, 73 nt
Filed under: Pestalotiopsis carveri
Lineage: Eukaryota; Fungi; Ascomycota; Sordariomycetes; Amphisphaeriales; Sporocadaceae
Description: partial 28S ribosomal RNA
Source: RNAcentral
UUUUUAAUGGUUGACCUCGGAUCAGGUAGGAAUACCCGCUGAACUUAAGCAUAUCAAUAAGGCGGGAGGAAAA